UAAAAAACCUACGUAAUAAAUUACAUGUUUACAUUAACAGGCUUAUAUAAAGAAAUGGUUUAUCAAUAAAUUUUACAGUACGAUAUUGUUAGUUCUUCCAUAAUACAUAAUAUUCAAAGAAUUGAAAAAAAAAUAAUUUACACUUAACAAGAUGUUCAAAUUAUCUUUGAUCGCAAUUUUCGCAAUGCUUGUUAUUGCCAUGAGCAUCGUUGCUAUUCAAGCAGCUCCAGGAGGUGGCAGUGAUGAUGGGUGUGAUGAUAAUAACAAAGGUGGUGGUGGUGGUAGUCUUAUCAAUGUAGUAGCUGAUAUUUUAUCGUAACGUGAGGCAUAAUCAUCACGUAACCUAAGCAAUAUGACUGUGAAAAACAUAGUAGCUCAUAAAAGUAAAAAAUUGAGUUGAAAAUAUAAUAAACAUAGUAAAAAAUUA
Molecule: long non-coding RNA, 427 nt
Organism: Aphidius gifuensis
Lineage: Eukaryota; Metazoa; Arthropoda; Insecta; Hymenoptera; Braconidae
Exons: 2
Source: RefSeq, a predicted model, not a curated record